Long non-coding RNA from Cheilinus undulatus (humphead wrasse), 720 nucleotides. RefSeq lists it as uncharacterized. The record is from RefSeq and is a predicted model, not a curated record. NCBI's taxonomy places the organism in Eukaryota, Metazoa, Chordata, Actinopteri, Labriformes, Labridae. The transcript is spliced from 5 exons.
CUAGUGGCAUGAUAAAGAGCAUAGUAUUUUCUAUUGUCUAGCACUUCAUGUGCCUAACAGUGCACAGAGGGUGACGAGAAAAAGGCCUGAAUGUAUAGUUGUGGUGUUUCUGAAUGUAAGAAGUACAAAAACUUAACUACUGGGAAUAUCGUUUCACAAAUCAAGAGAGGGCUACCAAAACAUGUCCUGUAAACCUGAGAAGCCUGAGGUCUCUACCUUAAAGACCCAUGAGUGCAAUGCUUUUAAAGGCUCAGCUGCUGUUGAAAGAGAUAGAGGAGCUGCAAGACUUAUCCAAAUCAUCACAGCUGCCCAACCAGAGAAGAAUGAUCUUGCAGGAAUGUCAGGCCAGCAUCGAGCAGGACGGAGAGACCUUGGUCAUUGAUGGCAUGAGGUUCAAGUGCACAGCCAGCCGGGAGGACCUGGGGGGGCUGAGUUCACAGGAUGCCAGUGCAGGAGGACGUCGGGGCGACACAUGACUGAUGGCUACUUCAGUGGUUUCAUGGCACAAGUUCGAGCCUGGAUCUCCUUUUUAAGUGCAGAGAUGAGAAUGGUGAUAUCCUCACAUCUGUACUGUCUGAACAUACAACACUACUCCCUGUACAACAGCUAAACUGAAGAUGUCCCUGGUCAGUGGUGUGUAGUAAAAAGCCUGAAGUGGAUCUUCUUGUUCUGUUUGUGUUGUGCUGAAUUAUUUCUUUACCAUCAGAUAUCUAAAUAAAA